CUUUCUUUAGGGCAAUUUUAACUCAUCUCAUUGUUUGCUUUUCCACUUGUAUGACUAUUUCUGAAGGCUAAAUUCACUGAAGCAGAAUUGUUGGCUGAAAGAGCUCGAAUGCUUAAAACAUUAACAUAUACUACCAAGUUGCCCUUAGAGAUUCUCUGACCCCCAUGAAUCUUAAAGUUCAUGAUAAGAAAUGAUCUAACUAAUGUUUGAAUGGGCAAUUCUUUAUGAUUAGUGAGACCAGGUUUUAUAAGUUGCUUGUCACAUCUCUUGUUCUUUUUUUUCCUCCUUAGUUUACUUUUUUUAUUAACUCAAUCUAAGAAUGUUGCUCAUGUUGAGGGGCUGUAAAAGUAGUUCUAUCCACUAUAAGCCAAAGUGAAUUUCUAUGUGCUUUUCUGACCAUUUUGGUGACAGAAUGGUUAUUAGGAAAGUCCAGGCAAAACUCCCAGAAGUAAGUGGCUUUGGUGUGGUGGGUUUACUAAAAUGAAGCUCAGUAUGGGAGGCAAAGGUUAUGGCAAAGUAUUAACAGCUGGUGGCAAACAGGCUGGAUCCGGUGGCAUGAUAAACAGAAUAAACAACCAAAGAUGAUGUGUGAGCUGCCAAAAUAGUAACAGGAAGACAUGUGCCUUGUUCCCACUGAGGGCGCUUGUAAUACACUCAGCCUGACUGGCCUUCUGUCUGCUCACAGCUAGGUACAGAGUCAGUACUGCAUUUAUUUUUCUCUGGCUUUAUCUGUCCCCAAUCUGUCGUCCUUUCUACCACUGGUUUACCUUGCUUUACCUCCUUUUUACUGAAUUCUAACCACAAAGCAAGGCCAGAGCUGAGCCGUGCCUCUAAAUGUUUUCCUGAAAUAAAGGAAAAAAUCUAAACAUUUCAUUAAAAAAAAACUAUAACAACCCAGAACUAUAGCCCAUUAUUAUUAUUUUUGGAAAGUGGGAAAAGGGUUCAAUUUCUAGUCUGAAAGAUUGUGAAUGUCCUCAGGAUUAGUAUGUAUGGGAACCAUCAG
Long non-coding RNA from Perognathus longimembris pacificus (Pacific pocket mouse), 1003 nucleotides. RefSeq lists it as uncharacterized. The transcript has 2 exons. The record is from RefSeq and is a predicted model, not a curated record. NCBI's taxonomy places the organism in Eukaryota, Metazoa, Chordata, Mammalia, Rodentia, Heteromyidae.